RNAcentral lists this ribosomal RNA (501 nucleotides) under uncultured bacterium. RNAcentral's name for it is "partial 16S ribosomal RNA". It matches the Rfam family "Bacterial small subunit ribosomal RNA", at positions 29 to 523 of the family's 1533-position model. The record is from RNAcentral.
AUUGAACGCUGGCGGCAUGCCUUACACAUGCAAGUCGAACGGCAGCACGGGCGCUUGCACCUGGUGGCGAGUGGCGAACGGGUGAGUAAUACAUCGGAACGUACCUUAUCGUGGGGGAUAACGCAGCGAAAGCUGUGCUAAUACCGCAUACGCCCUGAGGGGGAAAGCGGGGGAUCGCAAGACCCCGCGCGAUUCGAGCGGCCGAUGCCUGAUUAGCUAGUUGGUGGGGUAAAAGCCCACCAAGGCGACGAUCAGUAGCUGGUCUGAGAGGACGAUCAGCCACACUGGGACUGAGACACGGCCCAGACUCCUACGGGAGGCAGCAGUGGGGAAUUUUGGGCAAUGGGGGCAACCCUGAUCCAGCAAUGCCGCGUGAGUGAAGAAGGCCUUCGGGUUGUAAAGCUCUUUUGUCAGGGAAGAAACACCGGCUCUAACACAGUCCGGGAAUGACGGUACCUGAAGAAUAAGCACCGGCUAACUACGUGCCAGCCGCCGCGGUAA